GCCCAUGUAGCUCAAUGGUAGAGCAGGCGCUUCGUAAGCGUCAGGCUGUCGGUUCAAGUCCGACCGUGGGCUCCA
Molecule: transfer RNA, 75 nt
Filed under: Candidatus Woykebacteria bacterium RBG_16_39_9b
Lineage: Bacteria; Candidatus Woykeibacteriota
Description: tRNA-Thr
Rfam family: tRNA
About the family: Transfer RNA (tRNA) molecules are approximately 80 nucleotides in length. Their secondary structure includes four short double-helical elements and three loops (D, anti-codon, and T loops).
Source: RNAcentral